Molecule: ribosomal RNA, 253 nt
Filed under: uncultured bacterium
Lineage: Bacteria
Description: partial 16S ribosomal RNA
Rfam family: Bacterial small subunit ribosomal RNA
Source: RNAcentral
UACAGAGGUCUCAAGCGUUGUUCGGAUUCAUUGGGCGUAAAGGGUGCGUAGGCGGCGCGGUAAGUCGGGUGUGAAAUCUCGGGGCUUAACUCCGAAACUGCAUUCGAUACUGCCGUGCUUGAGGACUGGAGAGGAGACUGGAAUUUACGGUGUAGCAGUGAAAUGCGUAGAUAUCGUAAGGAAGACCAGUGGCGAAGGCGGGUCUCUAGACAGUUCCUGACGCUGAAGUACGAAGGCCAGGGGAGCAAACGGG